Molecule: long non-coding RNA, 731 nt
Filed under: Volvox carteri
Lineage: Eukaryota; Viridiplantae; Chlorophyta; Chlorophyceae; Chlamydomonadales; Volvocaceae
Description: long non-coding RNA (VCAR_LNC004172)
Source: RNAcentral
CGAACAUCAGCAUAGGUGCAAGCCCUCUCGCUUGGAGGGAUAUGCAAACAAACAUCCUGAUAGGGGUAAACUCGCACGCUACCGAGCAUUCAACCGAGCACAUGCAUGCCUAGUUGAAUGGUGAGAUGCGACCCCCCCUUCAUUUCGUGCUCGGCAAGCCUGCCACCGCGUACCGGAUAUGUUGGCGAUGUUACAGAACGCUGCACCUUGGUUUCUGUGCGCAUUGCGUACGUUGCUCGACCCCGCCGACCAAAACUACACGUGCCCAACUGAAGACAUUCCCGGUGGUUGUGCAGCAGCUCUUGAGGCUGUUGCUGGCUGAAAUCCAUCCUGAGCUGUUGCAACACGGCUAACGCGGGCACGUCCCUAUGCACAGCAAAUAGCUGUUCCAAGCCAACAGCGGCGUCCAUGUCACCGACAAGGCUCUAAACGUCUUAUCUGUUCUUAUGUUUAAUUAAGUUUAUGUAUGUUAUACUUUGCGCAACUUUGUAAUUUGACUUUACUCUGAAAAAGGUGCUGUAUACGUUGCACUACCGAAUCCGCGCCCGUUUGCUUGCGCAAACUGCCGCUUCGCCAAACGCUUCCUCUUCCCGCGGUCGUUUCAAGCGCCCAGUCUUGCAAGCUACGUUGUUUGCUUUCUGUGAUUUCAAUUACUGCAAAGCAGCCACGCAAUAGUCCAGCCUGCAUGCCGCGUGCGCCUGUGGCCAACAUGCCCACCUGCGCAACGCGCU